This 484-nucleotide ribosomal RNA is filed under the name uncultured bacterium. RNAcentral describes it as "partial 16S ribosomal RNA". It matches the Rfam family "Bacterial small subunit ribosomal RNA", at positions 30 to 507 of the family's 1533-position model. The record is from RNAcentral.
AUUGAACGCUGGCGGCAGGCCUAACACAUGCAAGUCGAGCGGAUGAAGGGAGCUUGCUCCUGGAUUCAGCGGCGGACGGGUGAGUAAUGCCUAGGAUUCUGCCUGGUAGUGGGGGAUAACGUCCGGAAACGGGCGCUAAUACCGCAUACGUCCUGAGGGAGAAAGUGGGGGAUCUUCGGACCUCACGCUAUCAGAUGAGCCUAGGUCGGAUUAGCUAGUUGGUGGGGUAAAGGCCUACCAAGGCGACGAUCCGUAAUUGGUCUGAGAGGAUGAUCAGUCACACUGGAACUGAGACACGGUCCAGACUCCUACGGGAGGCAGCAGUGGGGAAUAUUGGACAAUGGGCGAAAGCCUGAUCCAGCCAUGCCGCGUGUGUGAAGAAGGUCUUCGGAUUGUAAAGCACUUUAAGUUGGGAGGAAGGGCAGUAAGUUAAUACCUUGCUGUUUUGACGUUACCAACAGAAUAAGCACCGGCUAACUUCGUG